AUGGCCACCGGAAAUUGCACGGCUAAAGCAGAUGACUUCUCUAAGCACAUAGAUGGGCAGUUGCUGCGAGUGAACGCUCUGCUGGUGGCGAGCACCAUCAUGAUAGGAGUUAUGGUCGGGAUGGGUGCCUAUGGUCAGCGCUACCGCCACCAUCCAUUGACCGGCUUCCUCUUCCUUGGUGCCAACAUCGUGUUCCUGCCCCUCCUCUCCUAUGUUGUCUCUACCAUCGGUAAUGAAGACCCCGUCGCUCUUUAUUCAUCUGAUCUAGACAUCAUAACAGGGCGGUGUGACCCACAGGACCACAUCAUCUCUGUCUUGAUGUGGGCUAGUCUUGUUCAGAUUGCUGCCGUCAACACCACUGCAGUAGUUGCUGGUGAUGAUGACAAGAAAGGCCGAAACAUUGGCCCUCCUGCCACGGUACUGCUUAUUCAAGCAAUAUGGACUUCCUACCUUACCAUUGACUUCUUGGGAAAGGGUUAUUAUUCAAUGCAAAAAUGGUCCUUAAAAGCGGUGGCGCCUGAAGACGUAUUGAUCCUUCUUCCACCGUUUGCUCUUACUGUUGCCAAACUACUUAUCAAAUAUUAUGCUUGGUACAGUGCAAGAGGGUCAUUAGCGUUUGGGCGCAAUUCUCACCUCAUUGUUGGAUACAUGGAGCAGCUAAAAGAUGAAAGCCCACAUGCUGAGCUGGCCCUUCCUCCACUCAUAGUUACAGGAGAGGACACAACAUUGGUACAGAAGGAGCCUCAUGGUUAUAGUCUCAAAUGGUUAUCCAACCAAGCUGACAGGACAAGGAUAGACAACAACGGCUUAGUGACCAUUGACAAAGUUUGGCGGUUGGAGGAUGACAUAUUUCUGAAGUCUUCAAUGAAGCAGUUGAAAGAUUUAUGUUUUUCAUUUGCGUUGUUCAAGCUCCUAAGAUGUCGAUUUGCAAGCCAUACAAUUGCUGAGACUAGUUUCAUCAAGGCCCAUAACUUAUUGCCACACGUGUUGCUCCAAGAUGGUGAUGAUGAAAGAGCAAUUGAGGCAUGCUUCUUCUUGGCAACAAUCACCUUGGAAGAAGAAGUUACUGGUCGUCUGUUGCGCUGCAAAUGUAGGCUGCUAAAGCAUUGGGAGGACAAAAUGAACCAGUGCUCAGUAUUUGCGCUCCACCCAAGCACAACUCCAGUGGCUCUUCUCCGGCGCUUAAUCCCUCUUCUUUACAGGAAGAAGGUACCAAGAGCGGUGAAGACCGCUAUCCUCAAGCCAUUGAGAAGCCCCAGUUAUCGCCCAAGCAAUGGCGUGGCAUCCCUAUGCACAAGUCUACAUCUACAGGCCGGCAACAACCCCCUCUCGGCGUCCAGUGGCGUGAAAGGUGUAGCCUCUACCAUGCUCGUGGUCCACAUUGCCACGAGCAUCCUGGAAGAGAGAUCGGAGCCGCACCAGCCCGAGUCUGCUCAUGAGACGGUUGCCACACACUUGUCACACUACUGUGCCUACUUGGUGGCCUACGCCCCCGAGCUACUCCCCGACGACAACCAGUGGUGCAAGAGCUUGUACAAGGCCGUCCAGAAGGAAGCCAAACAUGCAAUCGUGGUCGCUUGCCGCGUCGGGGUGGCGUUGAAUCCUGAAGGGCUGACACAGGCGCUGAGCGCAGGGUCUGAGGUGCAACAUGACCUGCUCAAGAAUGGUGUAGAGCUCGGGAGGAAGCUGCUCAAGAAUGGUGCGGAGCUCGGGAAGAAGCUGGUGGAACUGGCAGAGGGUGAAGGAGAAGAGGUGGCCUGGGAGGUCCUCGCCAACUUCUGGUCCGAGAUGAUUCUUUAUGCCGCUCCGUCAGACAACGUCGAUGCUCACGCGGAGGCCGUUGCGCGGGGCGGCGAGCUGAUAACGCUCAUUUGGGCAUUGCUCACCCACCUUGGGGUCGUCAGCCGGCCAGAGGCCGCUCCUGGCAUGCCUAACGCUCCUAGUGAUGUUUGA
Molecule: ribosomal RNA, 1953 nt
Filed under: Triticum aestivum (bread wheat)
Lineage: Eukaryota; Viridiplantae; Streptophyta; Magnoliopsida; Poales; Poaceae
Description: partial small subunit ribosomal RNA
Source: RNAcentral